GUUUUUCUGUGUGAAGAUUGUGUUCAGCACCAAGGACAGCUGUGUUUGCCUUGUGUCUAUGGUAUUCAGCACCAGGGACAGGCCUGUUUGCUU
This 93-nucleotide microRNA precursor is filed under the name Branchiostoma floridae (Florida lancelet). Its description in RNAcentral is "mir-2060 microRNA precursor family". It matches the Rfam family "mir-2060 microRNA precursor family". The record is from Rfam by way of RNAcentral. Lineage: Eukaryota; Metazoa; Chordata; Leptocardii; Amphioxiformes; Branchiostomatidae.